This 1064-nucleotide non-coding RNA is filed under the name Ixodes scapularis (black-legged tick). RNAcentral describes it as "Eukaryotic small subunit ribosomal RNA". It matches the Rfam family "Eukaryotic small subunit ribosomal RNA", at positions 1356 to 1831 of the family's 1831-position model. Lineage: Eukaryota; Metazoa; Arthropoda; Arachnida; Ixodida; Ixodidae. The record is from Rfam by way of RNAcentral.
AAAUGUAGGUGGCUAUUUAUGAGAAAUGAUUGUUUAUAACAUUUCCAAAAGAUUGUCGAGCCACGACAGAAAACAUUAUGCGUUAUAAUAUAAGAAAUAUACAAAAAUGUCAAGUGUUCAACGGCUGCGCUUAGAGUAUCGGCACUCUUUCCCCCUAUAUUGUUGUGGGCGCCGUCAUCUUGGUGGUUAGUACAAAGUAAACGCAACUGCCGAUCGUCAUGAUUCAAUAGGGCGACUUCCUCAACAUUAGUUUCGAGCUCACGAUAUAUUGGUUUUCUUUGUCGCGAUCUGUUUAAACAAUUGUGGAGGACGGAAAAGCGUUUCCUGUGAUUUCAGAUAAAGCUUCAGAUAACUGACAGCCAUCAUUUUAAGCAUCUAAAGCGACAACCAUCACCUUGGUCCGACAGCAAAAAGCACAGAAAGAGAACGAACUGCUGACCUCGUGCUCUUGGCGCUGCUUCAGUGGCUUCAUCAGACCGUAGCAUUGGCUGCGCCCCGAACUAAGGUAAAGCAAAGCAAAUAAUCAGAUUUUAGGGUUUUACAAGCAAAACCAACAUAUAUGACACGACACCCCCCCCACAGACACACACACUCUAGCCUGUUAAAUAGGUGUGUGGUGCUCCGCACCUUCCACAUUUCUUAGAGGGACUAGCGACUCCUAACCGCACGAAACACAGCAAUAACAGUUCUGUGAUGCCUGUAGAUAUCGGGGGCAGCACGCGCGCUACACUGAAAGCAGCAGCGUGAUUUUAUUCCUGCUGUAAAGACUGGGUAAACCGUGGAACCUCCUUCGUGAUUGGGAUAGGGGCUUGCAAUUGUUCCCCUUGAACGAGGAAUUCCCUAUAAGCGCGAUCAUAAGCUCGCGUUGGUUACGUCCCGGCCCUUUUUACACACCACCCGCUGCUACUACCGAUUGAAUGAUUCAGUAAGGUCUUCGGACCUAUUCCCGAAGCGGCCUUAGUGUUUUGCGGAUGGGUUGGAAAGAUGACCAAACUGGGGAUCAUUUUGAGAAAGUAAAAGUAAUGUAGGGUGUGCGCAAAAAUGUAUUUUUAAGGAGGUAACUA